This 667-nucleotide ribosomal RNA is filed under the name uncultured bacterium. Its description in RNAcentral is "bacterial SSU rRNA". It matches the Rfam family "Bacterial small subunit ribosomal RNA", at positions 9 to 662 of the family's 1533-position model. The record is from RNAcentral.
GAGUUUGAUCAUGGCUCAGAACGAACGCUGGUGGCGUGGAUAAGACAUGCAAGUCGAACGAGAAACUUACUUAGCUUGCUUUGAAAGUUUCUAGUGGCGGACGGGUGAGUAACACGUGAGUUACCUGCCCCGAAGUGGGGGAUAGCCUUCCGAAAGGGGGAUUAAUACCCCAUGUGAUCGCAAGAUUAAAGGCGGCCAUCUUUGAUGGCUGUCGCUUCGGGAUGGGCUCGCGGCCUAUCAGCUAGUUGGUGAGGUAACUGCUUACCAAGGCGAUGACGGGUAGCUGGUCUGAGAGGACGACCAGUCACACUGGAACUGAGACACGGUCCAGACACCUACGGGUGGCAGCAGUCGAGAAUCAUUCGCAAUGGGCGAAAGCCUGACGGUGCGACGCCGCGUGGAGGAUGAAGGCCCUAGGGUCGUAAACUCCUGUCAUCAGGGAGUAAUGGCUCACGUAGUAACUGCCGUGAGCAGUGAUAGUACCUGAAGAGGAAGGGACGGCAAACUUCGUGCCAGCAGCCGCGGUAAUACGAAGGUCUCAAGCGUUGUUCGGAUUUACUGGGCGUAAAGCGUCUGUAGGCGGAGUGGUAAGUCAGAUGUGAAAUCCCGGGGCUCAACCCCGGAACUGCAUCCGAUACUGCCACCCUAGAGGGUCGGAGGGGAGUCU